UACAGAGGUCCCAAGCGUUGUUCGGAUUCACUGGGCGUAAAGGGUGCGUAGGUGGCCAGGUAAGUUCGGUGUGAAAGCUCGGAGCUUAACUUCGAAAUGGCAUUGAAUACUAUCUGGCUGGAGGGUCGGAGGGGAGACUGGAAUUCUCGGUGUAGCAGUGAAAUGCGUAGAUAUCGAGAGGAACACCAGUGGCGAAGGCGAGUCUCUGGACGACUCCUGACACUGAGGCACGAAAGCCAGGGGAGCAAACAGG
RNAcentral lists this ribosomal RNA (253 nucleotides) under uncultured bacterium. Its description in RNAcentral is "partial 16S ribosomal RNA". It matches the Rfam family "Bacterial small subunit ribosomal RNA", at positions 524 to 776 of the family's 1533-position model. The record is from RNAcentral.